UUGCAGUGAUGUAUUGCCAACACAUCAUUCUGAAGAAAAGUGUGUGGUGAUUUCCUAAUACUAUGAGCAUA
RNAcentral lists this small nucleolar RNA (71 nucleotides) under Balaenoptera musculus (blue whale). Its description in RNAcentral is "Small nucleolar RNA SNORD63 (ENSBMSG00010002976.1)". It matches the Rfam family "Small nucleolar RNA SNORD63". From Rfam's summary of the family: snoRNA U63 is found in both humans and mice. U63 is a member of the C/D class of snoRNA which contain C (UGAUGA) and D (CUGA) box motifs. The record is from Rfam by way of RNAcentral. Lineage: Eukaryota; Metazoa; Chordata; Mammalia; Artiodactyla; Balaenopteridae.